Molecule: non-coding RNA, 27 nt
Filed under: Bombyx mori (domestic silkworm)
Lineage: Eukaryota; Metazoa; Arthropoda; Insecta; Lepidoptera; Bombycidae
Source: RNAcentral
UCUCGAUUGUAGCACGCUGACUUAAGA